Molecule: small nuclear RNA, 104 nt
Organism: Nyctereutes procyonoides (raccoon dog)
Lineage: Eukaryota; Metazoa; Chordata; Mammalia; Carnivora; Canidae
Source: RefSeq, a predicted model, not a curated record
GCACUCAUUUCAGCAGAACAUACACUAAAAUUGGAAUAAUCCCAAGAUUAGCAUGGCCCCUGCACAAGGAUGACGUGCAAAUUCAUGAAGCAUUCCAUAUUUUU